This 497-nucleotide ribosomal RNA is filed under the name uncultured bacterium. RNAcentral describes it as "partial 16S ribosomal RNA". It matches the Rfam family "Bacterial small subunit ribosomal RNA", at positions 28 to 507 of the family's 1533-position model. The record is from RNAcentral.
GAUGAACGCUGGCGGCGUGCCUAAUACAUGCAAGUCGAGCGAACAGACGAGGAGCUUGCUCCUCUGACGUUAGCGGCGGACGGGUGAGUAACACGUGGAUAACCUACCUAUAAGACUGGGAUAACUUCGGGAAACCGGAGCUAAUACCGGAUAAUAUAUUGAACCGCAUGGUUCAAUAGUGAAAGACGGUUUUGCUGUCACUUAUAGAUGGAUCCGCGCCGCAUUAGCUAGUUGGUAAGGUAACGGCUUACCAAGGCAACGAUGCGUAGCCGACCUGAGAGGGUGACCGCCCACACUGGAACUGAGACACGGUCCUGACUCCGACGGGAGGCAGCAGUAGGGAAUCGUCCGCAAUGGGCGAAAGCCUGACGGAGCAACGCCGCGUGAGUGAUGAAGGGCUUCGGAUCGUAAAACUCUGUUAUUAGGGAAGAACAAAUGUGUAAGUAACUAUGCACGUCUUGACGGUACCUAAUCAGAAAGCCACGGCUAACUACGUG